GUGCCACCAACACCUAAAA
This 19-nucleotide small nuclear RNA is filed under the name Arabidopsis thaliana (thale cress). Its description in RNAcentral is "snRNA_03176". Lineage: Eukaryota; Viridiplantae; Streptophyta; Magnoliopsida; Brassicales; Brassicaceae. The record is from RNAcentral.